Non-coding RNA from Camelina sativa (false flax), 925 nucleotides. The record is from RefSeq and is a predicted model, not a curated record. Lineage: Eukaryota; Viridiplantae; Streptophyta; Magnoliopsida; Brassicales; Brassicaceae.
ACUCUCACUCACAUUUCUUCGAAUCACGAUGACUCUGUCCGGCCAAACCUCCGACCGUAUCUCCAGAUCUAGAAGGGAAACUGGUUUCCGUGGGAGAAGACGACAUAUAAGAAGAAGAAUCUGAGAGGUGAAGCGGAGGAAGAUGGCAUAGAAGACGAAAAAGCUAAGCGGUGGAUUUAUCGACGAAAUUAGAAGUUGGGAUCUCAAAACCGGGAAAGAUCUGCUUCGAUUCAAGUCGUGUGCUUCUCCGGCGCACAGCCGAAAACUUGGGUCGACUAAAGAAUCAAUUUUUCUAUCAAGCAACAAUGGAUGAGGGAGGAUAAGAAGUAGAAGAAUGAUGAAGGAGAAGUGAGGGAAGGAGUAGCGCAUCAAUAGCUUUGUUGCCACGCGGGUAUAUCUCUUGUCAUUUCUUUCAAAUGUCUAGCUCCAUCUGUUUUGGUCUCCAUGGAGAUCAGGUGUCAGCUAUUUUGGUUGAGUCUUGUGGCUUAAAGAACUCAAGGCUCAACUCGGCUCUCCUCAGUGUCACCAAAGUCACCGAAGGUACUCAAACUAAGCUCUCUAAAAGCAUAUCACUUCUUUCACAGAGUCACCUCAGUUUUGGUGAUUUUAUAUGAUAAAAUCUGACUGGAUUUGGAGAAGCUUGAAGAAGCGGUUGGCUGGAAGAAGAUAGGUCGAAGAUGAUGUUUGGCUUACAGAGAAAGCCACAGCCAAGCACACUCUUAGACAGAGCUCAUGAUGUACAACUUUAUUUCAGAGCGUAAGAAAUGAGUUGCUCUUGGAACAUUAAUGGGAACUACCUAGGCUUCAAUGAUGGAAUACAAAGCAAUUGAGAAUGUGCUACAAACCAUUUAUUAUGUAGUUUUUCAUCUAUUCUUAUUUUUAGUUAUGAUUUUUAAUUUUAUUUUGUAAUACAAUUUUUUUGUAA